This 450-nucleotide ribosomal RNA is filed under the name Sphingobacterium sp. c264. Its description in RNAcentral is "bacterial SSU rRNA". It matches the Rfam family "Bacterial small subunit ribosomal RNA", at positions 94 to 542 of the family's 1533-position model. The record is from RNAcentral. Lineage: Bacteria; Pseudomonadati; Bacteroidota; Sphingobacteriia; Sphingobacteriales; Sphingobacteriaceae.
AGUGGCGCACGGGUGCGUAACGCGUGAGCAACCUACCCAUAUCAGGGGGAUAGCCUCUCGAAAGAGAGAUUAACACCGCAUAACAUCAUUUACCGGCAUCGGAUUAUGAUCAAAUAUUUAUAGGAUAUGGAUGGGCUCGCGUGACAUUAGCUAGUUGGAGGGGUAACGGCCCACCAAGGCUACGAUGUCUAGGGGCUCUGAGAGGAGAAUCCCCCACACUGGUACUGAGACACGGACCAGACUCCUACGGGAGGCAGCAGUAAGGAAUAUUGGUCAAUGGAGGGAACUCUGAACCAGCCAUGCCGCGUGCAGGAUGACUGCCCUAUGGGUUGUAAACUGCUUUUGUCAGGGAAUAAACCUUUCCACGUGUGGGAAGCUGAAUGUACCUGAAGAAUAAGGAUCGGCUAACUCCGUGCCAGCAGCCGCGGUAAUACGGAGGAUCCAAGCGUU